UACAGAGGGCGCAAGCGUUGUUCGGAUUCACUGGGCAUAAAGAGCACGUAGGCGGCUACGUAAGUUGGAUGUGAAAUCCCACGGCUCAACCGUGGAACUGCAUCCGAUACUGCGUGGCUCGAGGUCGAGAGGGGUGAGCGGAACUCCAGGUGGAACGGUGAAAUGUGUAGAUAUCUGGAGGAACACCGGUGGCGAAGGCGGCUCACUGGCUCGAAUCUGACGCUGAGGUGCGAAAGCUAGGGGAGCGAACGGG
Molecule: ribosomal RNA, 253 nt
Filed under: uncultured bacterium
Lineage: Bacteria
Description: partial 16S ribosomal RNA
Rfam family: Bacterial small subunit ribosomal RNA
Source: RNAcentral